This 1075-nucleotide long non-coding RNA is filed under the name Salmo salar (Atlantic salmon). Its description in RNAcentral is "lncRNA (ENSSSAG00000103721.1)". The record is from RNAcentral. Lineage: Eukaryota; Metazoa; Chordata; Actinopteri; Salmoniformes; Salmonidae.
GGUCAAAUUAACUGGUUAAACAUACCUAUAGCAAACCAACCAUGGUCAAAUGAACUGGUUAAACCCAACCAUGGUCAAAUGAACUGGUUAAACGUGCCUAUAGCAAACCAACCAUUGUCAAAUUAACUAUGGCUAAACGGACCGAUAGCAAACCAACCAUGGUCAAAUGAUUAAAUAGAUUUUCAGAAAGUCAGAUAAUGUUAUUGUCUUUGUUACCUGGAUUGAAUAUCUUAGACCCAUUUUUGCUAAAAAUAGAAUUGUCAUCAAUGAAUACAAAGUCGAGUGUAAAAGUGUUUUGCUGACAGAAUAUCAACACGUUGUUUUCAUAAGAAGAGAACAUGUUACAAAUGUGUUCACUGUUUCCGGCAACUGUACAAAAUGUUAAAUGGCGUUUUCAGUAGUAGAAUAUAAAGAAAGAUGUAAACAUGGGAACUGUCUAACUGCUAUGAUUCUUGACAACAUUGCAGAGAAGAAAGUUGAGUUAUUUUGUAAGUAACUUUGGGUUACUCCUAAAAGACAUCAUCUCCAACAUUACAGGUUUGUUUUCGGUGUGAUUUGAGACUUGGUUCGUAUCAGUUGUAUUCACCGUUUCUUUAUUUCGAUUGUGGAUUGUGUUUCUGCGUCGUUGGAAAGUUGACGAACCUAUGAGCACACCGGCAUCUGGAUUAUAAUGAUGGCGAUGAAUAAAUCCGGCACACAAUGUGGAUAUUUUCUAUUUUUCCUUUUUUGAUCAGGAAUAAUAUUUAUUUUGAUGUGUAUGAAAUUGUUUGGUGAAAUAUGCAUUUAAAAAAAGGACAGUAAUUACCUAUAAUUCCUGCACCUUUCGAUAGUUGUAUUUCCAAAUUUGAUCAUCAUGAUUUAGUUACUGCAAAGACAAUCUAUUGAUCUCAAAUCUACUUAAAAGACAGACUAACUUUCUGUUUUGUCAGCUUAGACUCAACAAAUGUAUGUUUGUGUUAAUCUUUUUGCAGACGGUCAUGUUUUAAAGAAUGCACUUGCAAGUCUGACAGUAUCAUUUGGUUUGGAUUGAUGUAUUUGUUUUGGAAAGGCAGCUACAUAAAAAUAAAUAAAAAAU